GAUGAACGCUGGCGGCGUGCCUAAUACAUGCAAGUCGAGCGAACAGACGAGGAGCUUGCUCCUCUGACGUUAGCGGCGGACGGGUGAGUAACACGUGGAUAACCUACCUAUAAGACUGGGAUAACUUCGGGAAACCGGAGCUAAUACCGGAUAAUAUAUUGAACCGCAUGGUUCAAUAGUGAAAGACGGUUUUGCUGUCACUUAUAGAUGGAUCCGCGCCGCAUUAGCUAGUUGGUAAGGUAACGGCUUACCACGGCGACGAUGCGUAGCCGACCUGAGAGGGUGAUCGGCCACACUGGAACUGAGACACGGUCCAGACUCCUACGGGAGGCAGCAGUAGGGAAUCUUCCGCAAUGGGCGAAAGCCUGACGGAGCAACGCCGCGUGAGUGAUGAAGGUCUUCGGAUCGUAAAACUCUGUUAUUAGGGAAGAACAAAUGUGUAAGUAACUAUGCACGUCUUGACGGUACCUAAUCAGAAAGCCACGGCUAACUACGUG
This 497-nucleotide ribosomal RNA is filed under the name uncultured bacterium. Its description in RNAcentral is "partial 16S ribosomal RNA". It matches the Rfam family "Bacterial small subunit ribosomal RNA", at positions 28 to 507 of the family's 1533-position model. The record is from RNAcentral.